AAAACACAUCCAGCUGUAAAACGCCAAAGUCCAACUAAAACCCACAUCCUUAACCACCCAAACCUUUUUAACUCAUGAAAACCAGGACACAAACUAGGAUUAGAUACCCUACUAUGCCUGGACGUAACACGGCACCACCCCCGCCCGCCAAAUAACUACGAGUGAAAACUUAAAACUUAAAGGACUUGACGGUACUUCACACCCAACCUAGAGGAGCCUGUCUACUAACCGAUAAUCCACGAUUAACCCAACCACUUCUAGCCACCCAGCCUAUAUACCACCGUCGCCAGCCUACCUUGUAAAAGAAACAAAGUGAGCCAAACAGCACUACACUAACACGACAGGUCAAGGUGUAACUAAUGAAGCGGACUAAGAUGGGGCUACAUUCUCUACCCCAGAUUAUACGAACAAGGCUAUGAAACUAACCUUUAAAGGCGGA
This 439-nucleotide ribosomal RNA is filed under the name Uropeltis macrolepis (Bombay earth snake). RNAcentral describes it as "partial 12S ribosomal RNA". The record is from RNAcentral. Lineage: Eukaryota; Metazoa; Chordata; Lepidosauria; Squamata; Uropeltidae.